This is a non-coding RNA of Jaculus jaculus (lesser Egyptian jerboa), 131 nucleotides long. Lineage: Eukaryota; Metazoa; Chordata; Mammalia; Rodentia; Dipodidae. The record is from Ensembl.
CUCCUGAGACCCCAGUGCAGGCCUGAGUGAGGUCACGCUAUUUUCCAUAUAUGAUCAGGCCCUACAUGGAGUGUAGAGCCUGAGAGAAUUAUGAAAGUGUGGCAGGUGAAUUAGGACCAGGGGACCUGGAG